Molecule: long non-coding RNA, 254 nt
Filed under: Ananas comosus (pineapple)
Lineage: Eukaryota; Viridiplantae; Streptophyta; Magnoliopsida; Poales; Bromeliaceae
Description: long non-coding RNA (ACOM_LNC000008)
Source: RNAcentral
UUCGUUUUUAUUUUUAUUAUUUGAUAUUUUUUAUUUGUAUGUUAAUGAGAAUUUUAUUUUUCAAAAAAAAGAUAACUCUAAUAAUAAUUUGUCAGUUGUAUUUUUCAAGACAAUUAAUGCAUGUACUUCUUAUGCAUUUUGAAAGAGUGAUAGUUUGGUCACUUUUUUAAAAAAGCGGACCGAAUCUGUAAAAACGAAAAAUGUGGCCCGGUUUUGCAAAAACCCAAAACUAGUGGAUUUUUUAUGCAAAUUGG